GGGGCUUACACACACGCUACAAUGGUCUGUACAAUGGGUAGCCAAGCCGCGAGGCGGAGCCAAUCCUGAAAGCAGGCCUCAGUUCAGAUUGCAGUCUGCAACUCGACUGCAUGAAGCCGGAGUUGCUAGUAACCGCAGGUCAGCAAUACUGCGGUGAAUACCGUUCCCGGGUCUU
Molecule: ribosomal RNA, 175 nt
Filed under: uncultured Anaerolineaceae bacterium
Lineage: Bacteria; Bacillati; Chloroflexota; Anaerolineae; Anaerolineales; Anaerolineaceae
Description: partial 16S ribosomal RNA
Rfam family: Bacterial small subunit ribosomal RNA
Source: RNAcentral